Heterocephalus glaber (naked mole-rat) is the source of this 2679-nucleotide long non-coding RNA. Lineage: Eukaryota; Metazoa; Chordata; Mammalia; Rodentia; Bathyergidae. The record is from Ensembl.
CUUCUAAGGGGCGUCACAAUCUAGUACCAACUGUCUCCCAAGCUCACUUGGCCAGAGACGGUCAACAGCGAACAUGCUGAGCUGCUUCUCCACUUCACGAGGCUGCAGCCUCAGGACCCCAGGCAGAGAAAGUAUCUGUGAAAGAUUGAGAAGACGGCUGACUCCAUCCAGAGGCCGCAGGCCACACUGCAGCAGCCACACGCCUGUCACAGACACCCCAGGGACGGUCUCCAGGGGAGUGACCACCAGGGACCUAUCAAAAUCAAGGACGGCAUUCUUGCUUCCAGACAGAAAGCAGACUGUUCUUUGUUCUCAACUAUGUAAAGGCAGAGAUCUGAUGUUUCAUAUGCAGCAACAAAGAAUCCUUCCUGAAGAACAUGCCAGGUUUUACUCUGCAGAAAUCAGUUUAGCCUUCACUAUCUUCAUCAGCAAGGGAUACUGUAUAGAAAUUUGAAAUUGGACAAUAUUCUACUGGACUCAGAAGGGCACAUUAGACUCACCGACUAUUGACUAUGUAAGGAAGGCUUGGAGAUGUGACCAGCACUUUCUGUGGCACUCCUAAUUUACCUGGCUCCAGAAAUUGUAAGGGGGGAAGAUUAUGGUUUCAGUGUGGACUGGUGGACUCUCAGAGUACUGAUGUAUGAGAUGAUGAUUGGAGAGUCUCCUUUUCAUCUUGAUGAGAGCUCUGAUAACCCUGACCAAAACUCAAAAAAUAAAAUCAAGUCAUUUUGGAAAGAGAAAUUUGCAUACCUCGUUGUCUGUCUGUAGAAGCUGCAAGUGUGCUGAAGAGUUUUCUGAGAAGGGACCCAAAGGAACGAUUGGGUUGCCAUCCUCAGAGGGCUUUGCUGAUGCUCAGGAGCAUCCAUUCUUUCAAAAUGUCGACUGGGACAUGAUGGAGAGAAAGCAAGUAGUGCCUCCCUUCAAACCAAAUAUGUCUGAGGGAUUCAGGUUGGACAACUUUGAUUCUCAGUUUACUGAGGAACCUGUCCAGCUCACCCCAGAUGGUAAUAACAUAGUGAGGAAAAUGGAAGGAUACGAGUUUGCAGCUUUUGAGUAUAUCAAUCGUCUUUCAAUGUAUGAAGAAAAAUGGAUCUGAUCCUCAUUUUUCAACUAUGCAUUCUGCUUAUUACUAUUUAAUGCUUAGAAAAACUUGUUACCAGCCUGGACUCAAUGAACCAUUUCAUAACUGUCUAGAAGCUAAUUUUAACUUCUUUUUUGUGGUUAUAUUUAGAUGUAAUAUUUGAUUCUUAUAGUCUAUGGUAGAGACUAUAGGACUUUUCAUUGAUAGAGUUGCUUUUUAUGAACUGAAUUAAGUAACAAUGAGGCAAGUGCUUGUUAACCACACUUGUAUACAUUCCAUUUGUGGAGUGAGACAUAGUGCCUAAUCUUGUUUUCUUUUUAUUUAUGAUACAAGAAAACAAUUUGUCUUUUAAGUAGAAUGUCUUACCUAAACUAGUUUCUCUCCAAACCAUAUUACCUGUACUUUUGAGGCUCAGUUGUCGUACUCUUCAGGGAAAUCCAAAAAAUAACAAGAAUUUUGAAUAAAUGUGUAGAAAACACAUACAUUAUACUUCUAUCUUCUUAGUUAAGUUUUUUUUUUUAGUAGGAUAACACAUGAAAUACAUAGUAAAAUUCAUUUUAGGGGCAGAGUUCCUCAAACUGUUUUUAUUAAAAUUAGUGCUUAGGAAUUUAUUAUUUAAAGAGUUCCCAGAUACAGCAUCCCCCUGUUUUGGUAACAUUUUUAUGCAAAGGACUUAAAAAGUGACUGUUAUCUAAAUAAAUUACAAAGCAAUGCUGGGCACGCCACAGGCCCGAGGAGCCACCCAAAGCCGCCAUGCAGAGCAACACCACCACCACCAACAACAACAACAAUAACAAAACAAAACAUAUGGAAAGCUGGAGAGGUGUGAUCCAUGAUGGACCUGGGACAUUUUGUAGUGCCAAAAAGUAAGGAAGUGCUAAAAACAAUCAAACAAAAAAUACCAAUAGGGUACAUCUAAGGAACACAGAAAACAACUGGAAGAGCUCCCUGUGGCCAAAGCUGGAACAAUUUGAAUAACAAAAAUGAAGUAGUGUUGACAUAUAACCCAACGCAUAAAAUAAAUAUCCAUGAGGCCACAGUGAUAGAAAUAAUUGAAUAAAUAAUAAAUGUCCAGAAGAGACAGAUCUUCUAUGCAGUAGAAUUCCACAUCAUGUAUAUGGAUACUCUACUAUCAAGAAUGUCCUUCCAAACAGUAUGUUAUACAAAGGUGGGAGGGAACGGGAAGCAACUUUACAGUGAGAAACCUGACAAACACUACCUCAACCAGGUGAUCAAGGCCAACAUUGACAGUAUUAAAUCAUACUGAUAGUAUGUAUACUUGAUGUGAUUUCAAUGGUAUUUUACCUGUAUGGUCCUCUUCCAAAUAAUCCAUAACCCCUCGUAUUGUCAUGAGAAAGUCAUCAGACAGAUCCCGCUGUGGCACAUUCUACUCUUCAAAACCAUCACAGUUAUCAGAGACAAGGAAAGGCUGAGAAUUGUCACAGCCAAGUGGAGCCAAAGUAGACCCAAUAACUGACUGUUAUGUGGUAUCCCGAAUGGGAUCCUGGGACAGAAAAAGUGUACUGGAUGAAAGCUAAGAAAAUCAAAAUAAACUAGACUUUAGUUAACUGUAAUGUUUAAUAUCAGUUUACUAAUUG